GACGAACGCUGGCGGCGUGCUUAACACAUGCAAGUCGAACGAAGAGCGAUGGAAGCUUGCUUCUAUCAAUCUUAGUGGCGAACAGGUGAGUAACGCGUAAUCAACCUGCCCUUCAGAGGGGGACAACAGUUGGAAACGACUGCUAAUACCGCAUACGAUCUAAUCUCGGCAUCGAGGAUAGAUGAAAGGUGGCCUCUACAUGUAAGCUAUCACUGAAGGAGGGGAUUGCGUCUGAUUAGCUAGUUGGAGGGGUAACGGCCCACCAAGGCGAUGAUCAGUAGCCGGUCUGAGAGGAUGAACGGCCACAUUGGGACUGAGACACGGCCCAGACUCCUACGGGAGGCAGCAGUGGGGAAUCUUCCGCAAUGGACGAAAGUCUGACGGAGCAACGCCGCGUGAGUGAUGACGGCCUUCGGGUUGUAAAGCUCUGUUAAUCGGGACGAAAGGCCUUCUUGCGAAUAGUGAGAAGGAUUGACGGUACCGGAAUAGAAAGCCACGGCUAACUACGU
RNAcentral lists this ribosomal RNA (509 nucleotides) under uncultured bacterium. Its description in RNAcentral is "partial 16S ribosomal RNA". It matches the Rfam family "Bacterial small subunit ribosomal RNA", at positions 28 to 506 of the family's 1533-position model. The record is from RNAcentral.